Molecule: unclassified non-coding RNA, 217 nt
Filed under: Hevea brasiliensis (rubber tree)
Lineage: Eukaryota; Viridiplantae; Streptophyta; Magnoliopsida; Malpighiales; Euphorbiaceae
Source: RNAcentral
GUAGUAUGUCACGGGCCUGUCCUCGUUGUAGCGGUAGCUGUAGGCACCAGCCAGCCAGAGACCAGGGAACAGGGCGAGGGCGCCAACACCAAGAAGCACGGGCGCAGGACCUCUCCAGCCGCUGGGAGUGCCGCCGGCGCGGUAUGGUUGAGCAGCGCCGCCAGCGUAACGUGAACCGCCGCCGAAAGUGCGCGGUGUACCGCUGCCAGAGGAUGAC